Long non-coding RNA from Oncorhynchus gorbuscha (pink salmon), 1441 nucleotides. RefSeq lists it as uncharacterized. The record is from RefSeq and is a predicted model, not a curated record. The transcript has 3 exons. NCBI's taxonomy places the organism in Eukaryota, Metazoa, Chordata, Actinopteri, Salmoniformes, Salmonidae.
UGGACCUGGUGACCAUAAACGGCAAAGACGAAGAGGACUUUCUCCUUGAAGUGGUCCGUGCAAAGAAUUUGGAUGUAGCCUGGAUUGGUUUUUCUCCCAACAACACGAAGGAGAUCUCUACACGGGUGAAGAGAGGUGUGGGGCCAGAAGAAGGUGCUCAGGAAGAGGACUGUGCUAAGCUUACGGUAUACGAGACACCUGCAGUGAAAGAAGUAACCGGGAGACAAUGUGGGACAAAAAAAUACUGUAUUUGUGAAAAAUACCUGGAUGUCAAAUACAAUGUAAGCAAGAGAAACCGUUAACUGGUUCUUCUGAAAGGAUUCUACUUUUUAAAAUGGAGGGAACAACUGCUAGCUUCAACUCUUCCUUUUUAAAUGGAGGGAACGACUGCUAGCUUCAACUCUUCCUUUUUAAAUGGAGGGAACGACUGCUAGCUUCAACUCUUCCUUUUUAAAUGGAGGGAACGACUGCUAGCUUCAACUCUUCCUUUUUAAAUGGAGGGAACGACUGCUAGCUUCAACCUCUUCCUUUUUAAAAAUGGAGGGAACAACUGCUAGCUUCAACCUCUUCCUUUUUAAAAAUGGAGGGAACAACUGCUAGCUUCAACUCUUCCUUUUUAAAAUGGAGGGAACGACUGCUAGCUUCAACCUCUUCCUUUUAAAAAAUGGAGGGAACAACUGCUAGCUUCAACUCUUCCUUUUUAAAAUGGAGGGAACGACUGCUAGCUUCAACUCUUCCUUUUUAAAUGGAGGGAACGACUGCUAGCUUCAACUCUUCCUUUUUAAAUGGAGGGAACGACUGCUAGCUUCAACUCUUCCUUUUUAAAUGGAGGGAACGACUGCUAGCUUCAACUCUUCCUUUUUAAAUGGAGGGAACGACUGCUAGCUUCAACUCUUCCUUUUUAAAUGGAGGGAACGACUGCUAGCUUCAACUCUUCCUUUUAAAUGGAGGGAACGACUGCUAGCUUCAACUCUUCCUUUUUAAAUGGAGGGAACGACUGCUAGCUUCAACUCUUCCUUUUUAAAUGGAGGGAACGACUGCUAGCUUCAACUCUUCCUUUUUAAAUGGAGGGAACGACUGCUAGCUUCAACUCUUCCUUUUUAAAUGGAGGGAACGACUGCUAGCUUCAACUCUUCCUUUUUAAAUGGAGGGAACGACUGCUAGCUUCAACUCUUCCUUUUAAAUGGAGGGAACGACUGCUAGCUUCAACUCUUCCUUUUUAAAUGGAGGGAACGACUGCUAGCUUCAACUCUUCCUUUUUAAAUGCAGGGAACAACUGCAUUUUCCAAGAAGCAACUGUUAGUCAUUCUAGUUAGGUUGGUGAGGGUACACACACAGGCAAAACACACACGCAAAACACACACACACACACAGGCAAAACACACACGCAAAACACACACACACACACAGGCAAAACACACACCGUACACACAGGCAAAAC